Molecule: ribosomal RNA, 253 nt
Filed under: uncultured bacterium
Lineage: Bacteria
Description: partial 16S ribosomal RNA
Rfam family: Bacterial small subunit ribosomal RNA
Source: RNAcentral
GACGUAGGGGGCGAGCGUUGUCCGGAUUUAUUGGGCGUAAAGAGCGCGUAGGCGGCCCGUUAAGUCGGAUGUGAAAACCCGUGGCUCAACCACGGGCCUGCAUCCGAUACUGGCGGGCUCGAGGCAGGCAGGGGAGAUCGGAAUUCCUGGUGUAGCGGUGAAAUGCGCAGAUAUCAGGAGGAACACCAAUGGCGAAGGCAGCUCGCUGGGACGUGACUGACGCUGAGACGCGAAAGCGUGGGGAGCAAACAGG